UACGUAGGUGACAAGCGUUAUCCGGAAUUACUGGGCGUAAAGCGUGCGCAGGCGGCUCCUUAAGUCAGAUGUGAAAGCCCCGGGCUUAACCUGGGAACUGCGUUUGAAACUGGGGGGCUAGAGUGUGGAAGAGGGGGGUGGAAUUCCAGGUGUAGCAGUGAAAUGCGUAGAGAUCUGGAGGAACACCGAUGGCGAAGGCAGCCCCCUGGGCUAACACUGACGCUCAUGCACGAAAGCGUGGGGAGCGAACAGG
RNAcentral lists this ribosomal RNA (253 nucleotides) under uncultured bacterium. RNAcentral describes it as "partial 16S ribosomal RNA". It matches the Rfam family "Bacterial small subunit ribosomal RNA", at positions 524 to 776 of the family's 1533-position model. The record is from RNAcentral.